Molecule: ribosomal RNA, 1948 nt
Filed under: human gut metagenome
Description: bacterial LSU rRNA
Rfam family: Bacterial large subunit ribosomal RNA
Source: RNAcentral
UUAAAUGAAUAAGGGCGUAUGGUGGAUGCCUAGGCAUGUAGAGCAGAAGAAGGACGCAGCUAACGGCGAAACGCGACGGGGAGUGGUAAGCACACAUCGAUCCGUCGGUCUCCGAAUGGGGAAACCCAGCGCAAGUAAUGUCGCGUUACCCAUGAGUGAAUACAUAGCUCAUGAGGAGAGAACCCAGGGAAUUGAAACAUCUUAGUACCUGGAGGAAAAGAAAAUAACAAUGAUUCCCUUAGUAGCGGCGAGCGAACGGGGAAGAGCCCAAACCAGCCUUAGGGCUGGGGUAGUAGGACCACGACGUGGUACAGUAACCGAUAGAAGAAGGACAUUGAAAGGUCCGCCAAAGAGGGUGCAAGCCCCGUAAUCGAAAUUGGGAGCUGACCUAGUGGAAUCCUGAGUACGGCGAGGCACGUGGAACCUUGUCGGAAGCAUCCGGGACCAUCCGGAAAGGCUAAAUACUCCUACAUGACCGAUAGUGAACCAGUACCGUGAGGGAAAGGUGAAAAGAACCGCGGGAGCGGAGUGAAAUAGAACCUGAAACCAUAUGCUUACAAGAAGUCAGAGCCCGUUAAGGGGUGAUGGCGUGCCUUUUGUAGAAUGAACCGGCGAGUUAUCUUAUCGUGCGAGGUUAAGUGGAAGACACGGAGCCGAAGCGAAAGCGAGUCUGAAUAGGGCGGGAGUACGAUGAGAUAGACCCGAAGCCGUAGUGAUCUAGCCAUGACCAGGUUGAAGUUUGGGUGAAACCAAAUGGAGGACCGAACCGACCCCCGUUGAAAAGUUGGCGGAUGAGUUGUGGCUAGCGGAGAAAUUCCAAUCGAACACGGCGAUAGCUGGUUCUCCCCGAAAUAGCUUUAGGGCUAGCGUCGAAGUAAGGGUAGUGGAGGUAGAGCACUGAAUUCAUGAUGGCGCCGUCAAGGUGUACUGAAUGAAAUCAAACUCCGAAUGCCAUUAUUGAAUCUUCGGCAGUCAGACUGUGGGUGAUAAGGUCCAUGGUCAAAAGGGAAACAGCCCAGAUCAUCAGUUAAGGUCCCAAAAUUACCGCUAAGUGGAAAAGGAUGUGGGGAUGCACAGACAACUAGGAGGUUGGCUUAGAAGCAGCCACCCUUCAAAGAGUGCGUAACAGCUCACUAGUCGAGUGACCCUGCGCCGAAAAUUAACCGGGGCUAAGCGGUAUACCGAAACUAUGGCAAUGAUGUAAAUCAUUGGGUAGGGGAGCGUUCCAUGGGCGUUGAAGCUGUACCGUAAGGAGCAGUGGAGCGCAUGGAAGUGAGAAUGCCGGUGUGAGUAGCGAGAUGCAGGUGAGAAUCCUGCACACCGAUAGACCAAGGAUUCCAGGGGAAGGUUCGUCCGCCCUGGGUAAGUCGGGACCUAAGGCGAGGCUGAAAAGCGUAGUCGAUGGAAAACAGGUUGAUAUUCCUGUACCCGCGCAUCGAGUGAUGGAGUGACAAAGAAGGCUAACCGGACCGGUAAAUGGAUUCCGGACCAAGCGAGGUAGGAGGCAGUCAGGCAAAUCCGGCUGUCAAUCUGAAGGCGUGAUGGGGAGUGAACAGCGCGAGCUAAGUAGCGAAGACGGCGAUGCCAGCUUUCAAGAAAAGCUUCUAGCGCUAAUCGAUGAGCGGCCCGUACCAAAACCGACACAGGUGGUCAAGGCGAGAAGCCUAAGGUGAGCGAGAGAACUGUUGCCAAGGAACUCGGCAAAAUAGCCCCGUACGUUCGCAAGAAGGGGCGCUCGAAAGAGCCGCAGUGAAGAGGCCCAAGCAACUGUUUAACUAAAACACAGCUCUCUGCAAAGUCGCAAGACGAAGUAUAGGGGGUGACGCCUGCCCGGUGCUGGAAGGUUAAGAGGAUAUGUUAGUCGCAAGACGAAGCAUUGAAUUGAAGCCCCAGUGAACGGCGGCCGUAACUAUAACGGUCCUAAGGUAGCGAAAUUCCUUGUCAGGUA